This 207-nucleotide ribosomal RNA is filed under the name uncultured bacterium. RNAcentral's name for it is "partial 16S ribosomal RNA". It matches the Rfam family "Bacterial small subunit ribosomal RNA", at positions 568 to 774 of the family's 1533-position model. The record is from RNAcentral.
CGCGUAGGCGGGCCAUCAAGUCGGGGGUGAAAUCGUUCGGCCCAACCGGACAAGGGCCCCCGAUACUGGUGGUCUCGAGGGAGGUAGGGGUCGAUGGAACUUCCGGUGGAGCGGUGAAAUGCGUAGAUAUCGGAAGGAACGCCGGUGGCGAAAGCGAUCGACUGGACCUCUUCUGACGCUGAGGCGCGAAAGCCAGGGGAGCGAACG